This 253-nucleotide ribosomal RNA is filed under the name uncultured bacterium. RNAcentral's name for it is "partial 16S ribosomal RNA". It matches the Rfam family "Bacterial small subunit ribosomal RNA", at positions 524 to 776 of the family's 1533-position model. The record is from RNAcentral.
UACAGGGGGUGCAACCGUUGCUCGGAAUUAUUGGGCGUAAAGCGCGCGUAGGCGGCCACUUAAGUCGGAUGUGAAAGCCCCUGGCUCAACUGGGGAAGUGCACCCGAAACUGAAUGGCUUGAAUGCAAAAGAGGGUCGCGGAAUUCCCGGUGUAGAGGUGAAAUUCGUAGAUAUCGGGAGGAACACCGGUGGCGAAGGCGGCGACCUGGGUUGACAUUGACGCUGAGGCGCGAAAGCGUGGGGAGCAAACAGG